AACGCACGAGACCUGCGGACCUGCGGAAGGAUCAUUAAUGAGAAGCUGCCCCUCGUGGGUAGACCUCCCACCCUCUGUGAACUUACCUUUGUUGCUUUGGCAGGCCCGUCCUCUGGACCGCCGGCUUCGGCUGGCCCGUGCCUGCCAGAGGAUUCCAAACCCUGUCUGUCAGUGUUGUCUGAGUCUAUAUGAAAUCGUUAAAACUUUCAGCAACGGAUCUCUAGAUCGGAAGAGCUCACG
Molecule: unclassified non-coding RNA, 240 nt
Filed under: soil metagenome
Description: partial contains 5.8S ribosomal RNA, internal transcribed spacer 2, and large subunit ribosomal RNA
Source: RNAcentral